CACGGAGUUAGCCGAUCCUUAUUCGUACGAUACUUUCAACCCGAUACACGUAUCGGGAUUUACCCUCGUACAAAAGCAGUUUACAACUCAUAGAGCCGUCUUCCUGCACGCGGCAUGGCUGGUUCAGACUUGCGUCCAUUGACCAAUAUUCCUCACUGCUGCCUCCCGUAGGAGUUUGGUCCGUGUCUCAGUACCAAUGUGGGGGGUUGACCUCUCAGUCCCCCUAUGUAUCGUCGCCUUGGUGAGCCGUUACCUCACCAACUAGCUAAUACAACGCAUGUCCAUCUCUGACCACCUGAGUUUUCAACCACCGAAGAUGCCUCCGGUGAUGUUAUGGGGUAUUAGUACCAAUUUCUCGAUGUUAUCCCCCUGUCAAAGGUAGGUUACAUACGCGUUACGCACCCGUCCGCCGGUCGCCGGCAUAAGUAGCAAGCUACUUACCCGCUGCCCCUCGACUUGCAUGUGUUAGGCCUGCCGCUAGCGUUCAUCCUGAGCCAGGAUCAAACUCU
RNAcentral lists this ribosomal RNA (509 nucleotides) under uncultured Alistipes sp. RNAcentral describes it as "partial 16S ribosomal RNA". Lineage: Bacteria; Pseudomonadati; Bacteroidota; Bacteroidia; Bacteroidales; Rikenellaceae. The record is from RNAcentral.